RNAcentral lists this ribosomal RNA (460 nucleotides) under uncultured bacterium. RNAcentral's name for it is "partial 16S ribosomal RNA". It matches the Rfam family "Bacterial small subunit ribosomal RNA", at positions 338 to 795 of the family's 1533-position model. The record is from RNAcentral.
CCUACGGGUGGCAGCAGUGAGGAAUAUUGGUCAAUGGACGAGAGUCUGAACCAGCCAAGUAGCGUGAAGGAUGACUGCCCUAUGGGUUGUAACCUUCUUUUUUAAAGGAAUAAAGUGAGGCACGUUUGCCAUUUUGUUUGUACUUUAUGAAUAAGGAUCGGCUAACUCCGUGCCAGCAGCCGCGGUAAUACGGAGGAUCCGAGCGUUAUCAGUUUUCAUUGGGGUUAAAGGGGGCGUAGAUGGGUUAUUAUGUCCGUUGUGAACGUGUGCGGCUCAACAGUCAAAUUGCAAUUGAUACUGGCAGCCUUGAGUACAGUUGAGGUAGGCGGAAUUCGUGGUGUAGCGGUGAAAUGCUUAGAUAUCACGAAGAACUCCGAUUGCGAAGGCAGCCUACUAAACUGCCACUGACAUUGAUGCUCGAAAGUGUGGGUAUCAAACAGGAUUAGAUACCCCAGUAGUC